GUCAGGAAUAUUGGGCAAUGGGCGAAAGCCUGACCCAGCAACGCCGCGUGAAGGAUGAAGGCCCUCGGGUCGUAAACUUCUGUCGAGAGGGAAGAAUGCGUACGGGUGAACAAUCCGUGCGUUUGACGGUACCUCCAAAGGAAGCACCGGCUAACUCCGUGCCAGCAGCCGCGGUAAUACGGAGGGUGCAAGCGUUGUUCGGAUUCAUUGGGCGUAAAGCGAGUGUAGGCGGUUUGACAAGUCGGAUGUGAAAUCCCGGGGCCCAACCCCGGAACUGCAUCCGAUACUGUCUGGCUAGAGUCCCGGAGAGGGUGGCGGAAUUCCCGGUGUAGGGGUGAAAUCCGUAGAUAUCGGGAGGAACACCAGUGGCGAAGGCGGCCACCUGGACGGUGACUGACGCUGAGACUCGAAAGCGUGGGUAGCAAACAGGAUUAGAAACCCCAGUAGUCC
This 450-nucleotide ribosomal RNA is filed under the name uncultured bacterium. Its description in RNAcentral is "bacterial SSU rRNA". It matches the Rfam family "Bacterial small subunit ribosomal RNA", at positions 354 to 796 of the family's 1533-position model. The record is from RNAcentral.